Molecule: long non-coding RNA, 254 nt
Organism: Rhea pennata
Lineage: Eukaryota; Metazoa; Chordata; Aves; Rheiformes; Rheidae
Exons: 3
Source: RefSeq, a predicted model, not a curated record
UUGAUGAACGGCUGUAGAAAUCUUACAGGAGGCAGAAUGUCCUGAUUCCUUGAAGAUGAACACAUGUGGCUGGAUUCUGUGGAGGAAAAUUAAGCUGUGAACUGGAAUUCCAUCAGGCUGUCUACUGUGAAGCCCUGUGGCUUUAGCAAAGGGGCAGCAGUGGUCAGAAAUGACACUCAAAAGAUAACUACAGUGAAACCCUAUAGCAUUCCCGAGCUUCCAAAGAGCAGACAGCCUUGCAGUCUAAGCACCAC